Molecule: long non-coding RNA, 220 nt
Filed under: Lathyrus oleraceus (garden pea)
Lineage: Eukaryota; Viridiplantae; Streptophyta; Magnoliopsida; Fabales; Fabaceae
Description: Pisum sativum (pea) long non-coding RNA (PSAT_LNC037998)
Source: RNAcentral
UUUUCUUUCCGGCCACCCACAGCGCCGCCGCCAUCUCCGCCGCUCCUGUCGACUUUUCGGCGAGAUUCCUAUACGCCGGAAUCGUCUCCUACAGAUCGGCCAGAUUCACUGCCUUCCGCCGCCGCACGCAUCCGCACACGUCUCUCCUUCAUCGCACGUGAAUCUCACGCGCCGGACAAUCAGCCGCGCAUCCGCUGCCCCCAGCCGUCGCCGUUUUUCC